RNAcentral lists this ribosomal RNA (492 nucleotides) under uncultured bacterium. RNAcentral's name for it is "partial 16S ribosomal RNA". It matches the Rfam family "Bacterial small subunit ribosomal RNA", at positions 29 to 507 of the family's 1533-position model. The record is from RNAcentral.
AGUGAACGCUGGCGGUAGGCCUAACACAUGCAAGUCGAACGGCAGCACAGUAAGAGCUUGCUCUUACGGGUGGCGAGUGGCGGACGGGUGAGGAAUACAUCGGAAUCUACUUUUUCGUGGGGGGUAACGUAGGGAAACUUACGCUAAUACCGCAUACGACCUACGGGUGAAAGCAGGGGAUCUUCGGACCUUGCGCGAUUGAAUGAGCCGAUGUCGGAUUAGCUAGUUGGCGGGGUAAAGGCCCACCAAGGCGACGAUCCGUAGCUGGUCUGAGAGGAUGAUCAGCCACACUGGAACUGAGACACGGUCCAGACUCCUACGGGAGGCAGCAGUGGGGAAUAUUGGACAAUGGGCGCAAGCCUGAUCCAGCCAUACCGCGUGGGUGAAGAAGGCCUUCGGGUUUUAAAGCCUUUUUGUUGGGAAAGAAAAGCAGCAGGUUAAUACCCCGCUGUUCUGACGGUACCCAAAGAAUAAGCACCGGCUAACUUCGUG